Molecule: long non-coding RNA, 1015 nt
Filed under: Sus scrofa (pig)
Lineage: Eukaryota; Metazoa; Chordata; Mammalia; Artiodactyla; Suidae
Description: lncRNA (ENSSSCG00025031054.1)
Source: RNAcentral
GCAGGAUAUAUUUUUUGAUUGUUUGCAGUCUAUCUGUUUGAAGGUUGUUCAGCAUUUGGUUGUAAUUUUGUUCUUUUUAUGAGAGAAGGUGAGCUCCAGUCCUUCUACUCUGCUAUCUUAAUCCUGUCUCUAAAUGAUCUCUCUACAUUUAUCUUUUGACAUUGUUUAAACAACUGCCAGAAAAAAUUUCAGAAGUGAAGUUGUUGAGUAAAAGGUGUACUUUUUACAUUUUGCAAAAUAUUUCCAAUUUGCUACCCAAGGAGUUUGCUCCAUAAUGUGGCUCUGUGAAAGUUAUAUGACAAUGCUGUCUUCUUAUACCUUUGCUAACUAUGUAUUAUCAAUCUCUUUCAUCUUGAAAAAUUUAAAUAGGUUAAAUGUUUUUUUUACUUUACUUUUUAUAGAGCCAAAAUUUUUGAGUAGGCUUCAAGGAGUUCCCAUUGUGGCACAGUGGAAGAGAAUGCAACCAGUAUCCAUGAGGAUGCAGUUGGGUUCUUUAACCACUGAGCCAGAAGGGAACUCCUCUAAUGCAUUCUUAAUCUCAUUUAUUGAGUUCUUCAGCUCCAGAAUUUCUGUUUGGGUCUUUUUUUAGAGUUUUGAUCUCUUUGGUAAGAGAUCAAAGAAAUCUCUUUUAUUCAUUAAUUUUAUUCUUGAGUUCAUUGAAUUGCCUUUCCAAUUUCUCUUGUAGCUCCUUGAGUUUCUUCAUAAUAGUUAUUUUGAAUUCUCUAUCAGAUUGCUAUUGCUGUGAUUUUAAGUUUGGUUUCUGAAGAACUGUUAUUAUCUUUUUGUGACACUAUGUUACUAUGUCUUAUUUGUGACACUCUGGGUUUUCAUGGUGCUUGAUGAAUUGUUCCUCUGCUGGCGUACCUGAAGUAGCAAACACCUCUCUUCCUUUGGUAAAGCUUUUUUAACUUGAUUCUAACAAUUCAACGGAUUGAUAGAGACCUUUUGUUUGUUUGUUUUUCAGUAGGUGGCACUACAGCACAAAGUUUUGGUUUCUUUUACCUGCGCUGUCUUC